AUUGAACGCUGGCGGCAUGCCUUACACAUGCAAGUCGAACGUGAAAGGGGGGCAACCCCCGAGUAGAGUGGCGGACGGGUGAGCAACACAUCGGAACGUACCCAGUAGUGGGGGACAACCUCGAGAAAUCGAGGCUAAUACCGCAUACGACCCACGGGUGAAAGCGGGGGACCGCAAGGCCUCGCGCUAUUGGAGCGGCCGAUGUCCGAUUAGCUUGUUGGUGGGGUAACGCCCACCAAGGCGACGAUCGGUAGCUGGUCUGAGAGGAUGAUCAGCCACACUGGGACUGAGACACGGCCCAGACUCCUACGGGAGGCAGCAGUGGGGAAUUUUGCGCAAUGGGGGAAACCCUGACGCAGCAACGCCGCGU
RNAcentral lists this ribosomal RNA (370 nucleotides) under uncultured bacterium. RNAcentral's name for it is "bacterial SSU rRNA". It matches the Rfam family "Bacterial small subunit ribosomal RNA", at positions 29 to 402 of the family's 1533-position model. The record is from RNAcentral.